This 421-nucleotide ribosomal RNA is filed under the name uncultured bacterium. RNAcentral describes it as "bacterial SSU rRNA". It matches the Rfam family "Bacterial small subunit ribosomal RNA", at positions 29 to 496 of the family's 1533-position model. The record is from RNAcentral.
AACGAACGCUGGCGGCAGGCUUAACACAUGCAAGUCGAACGCCCCGCAAGGGGAGUGGCGCACGGGUGAGUAACGCGUGGGAAUAUGCCCUUUAGUGCGGAACAACGUCGGGAAACUGACGCUAAUACCGCAUAAUGUCUACGGACCAAAGAUUUAUCGCUAAAGGAGUAGCCCGCGUCUGAUUAGCUAGUUGGUGAGGUAAUGGCUCACCAAGGCUACGAUCAGUAGCUGGUCUGAGAGGAUGAUCAGCCACACUGGGACUGAGACACGGCCCAGACUCCUACGGGAGGCAGCAGUGAGGAAUAUUGGACAAUGGGGGAAACCCUGAUCCAGCCAUGCCGCGUGAGUGAUGAAGGCCUCGGUUGUAAGUACGUCUUCGGUAGGUACGAGUGAUGACGGUACUACCACGAAGAAGACCCGG